This is a long non-coding RNA of Xyrauchen texanus (razorback sucker), 3981 nucleotides long. RefSeq lists it as uncharacterized. The record is from RefSeq and is a predicted model, not a curated record. Lineage: Eukaryota; Metazoa; Chordata; Actinopteri; Cypriniformes; Catostomidae. The transcript is spliced from 3 exons.
CUUCCCUGCAGAGGUUGUGCCCAUCUCCACAGUAACUGAAGAGGAUGAAGCACAACACCAUCAGUACAAGAGCAACUUUGUUGAUGCGUGGGACAAAGAUUUUGUUAAGCAGAGAGCCUCUGAGUCACCUGCCAAACCUCUGACAGGUGGGUGGUGACGGUCUCGCUCAAGGUGACCUGGGUGAUGGACUCAUUUUCUGCCAAUGUGUUUUAAGCUCUUCACUGGAUCACUUAUCAAGAUUAACAUGUUAAAGAUGUGUAUGUUUGAAAGACAUAGAGAAGCUGAAGUAUGUGUGACAAUAAACAAGGAGGAAAAGUAGACAUUAUUUUGAAUACGUUGAGUGAAUUUUUUGAAAAACUGGAAGAUCUUGAGAAUAGGAGCCGCCGGAAUAACAUCCGAAUUGUUCAAUCCUGAGCAUGAAGAAGACAGAGAUAUGGUGAAAUUCCUAGACAAACUCUUCCUGAGUCUGCUAGACAUAACAGGCCACAAGCUGGAAAUCGAGCGAGCUCACGGAGUCCCGGCUCGCAGAUAUGCUGAGGGAGACAGGCCCCGAUCAAUUCUGGCCAAAUUUCUGAGAUCAUCCAAUAAAGAUCUAGUGAAGCAAAGGAAAGCUUUCUUGGAAGAAUUACAACAUUUUCUUGUUCCGCGAAUUUGACAAGAGAAACGUGAUUGAUUCAAGGAAUGCAAGAAACUCUUACAUCAAUGGAAGAUUGCUUUUGCUCUGAUGUUCCAGGCCAAAUUGAGAAUAGAUACUAAGGAUGGCCGCAAAGUAUUUACAUGCCCACAACAAGCGAUGUCCUUAAUAAAGUCAAUGAGGUGAGUAAGCCAAUUUGGUUUUUCUCAUAUGGCCUCAAGUGGAUCGAAUCUGCUCUCUGAGGAGGCUGGGUGUCAUUUCGUUUCUUUUUGUGUUGUUCUGCCUAGUGGCUGGAGUAUGUUUUAAGAAAAAAGGGUCGCUUUUACACUGAAGUUCCCGGCUAAAUUGAGAAUAGAUUCUAAGGAUGGCCGCAAAAUAUUUCUAUGCCUACAACUAGCGAUGCCUUUCAUAAAAUCAGUGGAUGGAGGAAGUCAUGGUGUGUUACUUCAUCUGCUGAACUCUUGGAACAGCAGGCACAGUGAUCAUUCAUUGACUGUCCAAGAAAACUGAACGACUUUAUUAUACAUUUUUAUUUUAUGUAUUUUUUUGUGCUGGUUCCGCUAGUGGAUGGAAUUUCUUUUGUGGAUGAACACACCUUCGAGACAGUUUUGUGAAUGAACCUACACGUUCUUUGUGCCUAUUUUGCCUAUUGGCUGGAGUUUGUUUUAUAGAUUAUUUUCUGUUAUGUAUUUCUGUCUCACACAAUUUAUACAGAAACACUGGUCUUUGCAAUCUGAUGGCAAAGUUGUCGCGGGGACUCUCGUAGGUGUACGUGGACUCUUUGAGUUUAUAUGGAUGGAAGCCAGUUGGUGCUGUUGUGCACACGUUUUUUCUGUUUUUUUCCUGGGAAAGUUUGGGGUGAUAGUUGCACUAAUGUUGGAAUGUUUAUAAUUUUAUUUCUGACACAAAAUUUAAUUUUUUCUAAUAUGUCAAAAUGUCAAAUGUUUACAUGAGUGGAUUGUCUCUCUCCAUGUGGAAUGUGAACGGGUUGGGGCACCCCAUUAAAAGGAAGGUUAUUUAUUUUCUUCAACGUAAGAAAUAUAAUAUAGUGUUUCCUCAAGAAACGCAUCUUUCCCCACAGGAAGAAAAUUUGGGAAGAUAUGGGGUGGACAUAUUUACUUUAGUGCUGGCACAAGUAAGAGCAGGGCAGUCAUUACAUAGAUAAGUAAACAUCUAUAAUUCAAAUGUCUCAAACAGAUUAAAGAUAAAUUAGGUAGAGGCAUUAUUGUUGUAGCUGAAAUUCAGGGGCAAAGGUUGAUUUUGGCUAAUAUUUAUGCACUUAACGCUGAUGAUCAGGGUUUUUUUUUAUAGAUCUUGAAGGGAUGCUGCAAGCCGCUGGUACCCCUCAUUAUAUAAUAUUGGGAGGAGACUUUAAUCUGUUGAUGGACUCAGUUCUUGAUCAUAGUGAAGCAAAAGUGCGCAAUCCCCCUAGAGCAACAGUGACGCUUCACAGGAUGUAUAAAAAUCAUGGUCUUGCAGAUAUUUGGAGAAUAUCUUGUAGGGACUAUACAUUUUCUUCAUCAGUCCAUAAUAUUUAUUCUAGAAUAGAUUUUUUUAUAGAUUUUUUAAGUCCCUCAUUUCAUCUGUUGUUGAUUACUCAAUUGGAACAUUUUAAUCUCAGAUCAUGCCCUGAUGUGUUUAGAAGUGUUGCCACAGAUGGAGAAAAAGAAAUCAUGUAGUUGGUGCUUUAAUUUAUCCCUUUUGCAAAAUUCUGAAUUCCAACAAAUGUUAAAGGCUGAAAUCAAUGUUUAUUUGGAGACCAACUGGUCCUCAGUAUCCUCUGUGGUUGUGGCUUGGGAGGCACUUAAGACGGUUCUUAGGGGCCAGAUCAUACAGUAUGCCUCAUUCAUCAAAAAAUCCAAAGGACGAGAACUCGUGGAAUUACAAAGGAAUAUUAAAAGUGCCGAGGCACAGCUGAAGUGCUAAAUGUCGCCUGAUGGCCUAAGACAAUUGACCCGAUUGAAAUACAGAUAUAAUGCUAUUUUCUCGUGGAAGGCUGAGUUUUGGGUAUUCGGGGCAAGACAGUCAUACUUUGAGUCGGGGGACUAAGCAGGGAAGCAUUUGGCUAAGUAAAUAAAGCAGAGAGUCUUUUUCUACCAUUCCCUCAGUGAAAUCUGCUGGUGAUAAAAUAUUUACCUCAGCCAUUGAUAUUAAUAAUGCUUUUAAAGAAUUCUAUCUUGAGCUCUAUAGUUCCACGUCUUCGUCUACAGAUGAAGAUAUUAGAAAUUUGUGGAACCAUUAGAACUCUCUGAAUUGACGAUGGAGCAAAAAAUGGAUUCUGAGAUAAACUUGGAGGGGCUUGACGAGGUAAUUAAGGCCUGGCCUUCAGGCAAAACUCUGGGGCCAGAUGGCUUUGCCACCAAGUUUUUUAGAUCUUAUGCUACAGAACUUGCUCCACUUUUGUUUGAAGUUUAUACAGAAUCAUUAAAGAAUGGAAAGCUUCCGCCAACCAUGACACAAGCCUGGAUCAGUCUGAUUCUUAAUAAAGACAAAGAUCCAAGCAAGUGUAAAAGUUACCAUCCAAUUUCCCUGAUAGAGCUAGAUGUUAAAAUAUCGUUAAAGAUUUUGGCUAACCGAUUAAGUAAAGUUAUAACAUCUCUUAAACAUACAGACCAGGUAGGGUUUAUUCUGGGCCACAGCUCUUCUGAUAACAUUAGGCGUCUCAUCAAUAUUAUGUGGUCAGUGUUAAAUGAUCAGACUCUGCCACCACACCUGACGUGAAAAGGCGUUUGAUAUGGUAGAAUGGGAUUAUUUUACGAUUUAAACUUGUUAUUGGAGGAGGAAGUGUGGGCUAGUAUUCUAAAAAAGGCAAGCCUGCAUCUAGAGAUGCAAUAGUGCGCAUUAUGCAAUUUAAGAUUUAUUGGACCCCUUCUAAAUUGUAUAGGCUUGGUCUUAAAGACACACCCACUUGCUGGCGAUGCCAUUCAGAAGAUAGAGAUGCACCCAUGUUUUUUGGGGGUACUCAAUUACUCAAAGUACUCAAAUUUCAUUCUUCCCCAGACUCUGCAUUUUGGGAGAUGGGGAGUCAUAAAUUUGGAGGAUAAGUACAUACGAAAUUGGGUUUUGACCAGUGCAAUGAUUGGUCGGCAGGUAAUUUUAAGUGAAUGGAAGUCAGAGGGAGCAGCCUCAUUCCCAGAGUGGUGUGAGGAGAUUGGGAGGGUGGCUGCUUUCGAGAAGGGGUCGAACAGAAGGAUGGGAGUUGGGAAUUUUUUCAAUAGGAAAUGGGGCAACUAUUUCGUUUUUAAAUUAUACUUGAUUAUUAUAUUUUCUUUUUUGUUGUUUUAGUUUUGUGUGUGUGUGUGUCUGUGUGUGUGUUUGUCUAUAUUCUAUUGACCAAAGGAGUGUUC